This 274-nucleotide ribosomal RNA is filed under the name uncultured bacterium. Its description in RNAcentral is "partial 16S ribosomal RNA". It matches the Rfam family "Bacterial small subunit ribosomal RNA", at positions 523 to 796 of the family's 1533-position model. The record is from RNAcentral.
AUACGGAGGGUGCAAGCGUUAUUCGGAAUCACUGGGCGUAAAGGACGCGUAGGCGGGUUGGCAAGUCAGAUGUGAAAUCCUACAGCUUAACUGUAGAACUGCAUUUGAAACUGCUAACCUAGCGUAUGGGAGGGGGAGAUGGAACUAGUGGUGUAGGGGUAAAAUCCGUAGAUAUCACUAGGAAUACCGAAAGCGAAGGCGAUCUCCUGGAACAUAACUGACGCUAAGGCGUGAAAGCGUGGGGAGCAAACAGGAUUAGAAACCCCAGUAGUCC